RNAcentral lists this ribosomal RNA (497 nucleotides) under uncultured bacterium. RNAcentral's name for it is "partial 16S ribosomal RNA". It matches the Rfam family "Bacterial small subunit ribosomal RNA", at positions 28 to 507 of the family's 1533-position model. The record is from RNAcentral.
GAUGAACGCUGGCGGCGUGCCUAGUACAUGCAAGUCGAGCGAACAGACGAGGAGCUUGCUCCUCUGACGUUAGCGGCGGACGGGUGAGUAACACGUGGAUAACCUACCUAUAAGACUGGGAUAACUUCGGGAAACCGGAGCUAAUACCGGAUAACAUGUUGAACCGCAUGGUUCAACAGUGAAAGACGGUCUUGCUGUCACUUAUAGAUGGAUCCGCGCCGCAUUAGCUAGUUGGUAAGGUAACGGCUUACCAAGGCAACGAUGCGUAGCCGACCUGAGAGGGUGAUCGGCCACACUGGAACUGAGACACGGUCCAGACUCCUACGGGAGGCAGCAGUAGGGAAUCUUCCGCAAUGGGCGAAAGCCUGACGGAGCAACGCCGCGUGAGUGAAGAAGGUCUUCGGAUCGUAAAACUCUGUUAUUAGGGAAGAACAAAUGUGUAAGUAACUAUGCACGUCUUGACGGUACCUAAUCAGAAAGCCACGGCUAACUACGUG